Motacilla alba alba is the source of this 6261-nucleotide long non-coding RNA. RefSeq lists it as uncharacterized. NCBI's taxonomy places the organism in Eukaryota, Metazoa, Chordata, Aves, Passeriformes, Motacillidae. The transcript is spliced from 7 exons. The record is from RefSeq and is a predicted model, not a curated record.
GGCAGCUCCGGGCGGAACCCCCGGGCACGGCGGGGCUCCAGGGACCCCCGCGAUGCGCAGCGGAGCAUCCCGGGAGAGCCGCGGGAAUGGCCCGGGCGGGGCGGCUGGAAUGGAGGCGCCGUAGGGAGCUGGCUCCUAGAAUGCUUGGAGUCAGAAAAUUUGCUGCUGUCACGUCGUCCCUUGCCUUGGAGCCCGACUCAGGCUUACAGCAAUUCCUGUAGCACAUCCUUCCCGUCACAGGCACGUCUCAGCAUCGUCACUCUGGGCUGAAUCAGACCUGUCUGAGCAUUCACCCUCCUGUCACAGAAGAAGCAAAGGAUGCAGCAAGGCUCAGAGUGAGCGGCUCCAGGUGUCAACUGAGCAAAGUCAGGAUCAGCUGCAGUUAUUCCAGAGUACGUGCCCACGUGCAGAAUAUUCCAGAACAGGCCUCCUCCGCAUCAGUCAUCAGCUUCAAUUACCAGUUUUCCGGAGCCGAGCCAUCAGGCAGUCUGACACGAGGGUCCAACCUAAUUCCCACCUUCUCCAAAGUCAAGAGCAUAAUGUGCAGAUGAAAAGGUGGAAAAUAGCCUGGACUUCAUUAGCAUGCAGAGCCCGGCUGUUCAUUUGCUUGCUGCGAAUGGAAGUUCUGACACUCGGCGCCUUCUGCAAUAUGAGAAAAGUCCUCUUCAGAGUAUAUGAUGUCCUCACCAGCCAGCAAAGGUCAUCAAAAAGGCAGGCGCUGACCUUGCUCCCUGCUCUUCAUGACUAGUUUAUUGAUUCCAGGAACACCUCAUUACAUGCCGGAUCAACAUAUUAUUGCCAUGUUCAGCGGCUGAAUUGUUUACAAGUGUCUUUAUAACCAGCAGAAAGCCUUCCGGAUGAUGCAUGACUACACUCAUUUGGAUGUGACCUGCCAAUUAGAUGUUAUCCGAUCUGGUGCCGUGUGUCCUGAUCCCUGACCGGGCCCGCUGCCCUGCAUCAGCACGGGCCCAUUUACUACUUCUUUCGAACGGCUCUUUGGCAAAGUGUCCAUUAGCCUGUCAGUCUGUAAAUAUUUUAUUUUUUUUUACCUCGGCAGCGGUGGAGGCGCCGCCGGCGCUCCCGCUCUGUCAUUUGCUAUGCAUGAAGUUGAUAAUCAGCUGGGGGAGGCAAGGGGGUGUUUUAUGGCAGCGUCUGAUGGCCCACCCCAUUUGCAGUCAGCGUGCGCGGCCCGCGCUCCCGCGCCGCGUGCCACCCCGCCACAGGGACCCGGCAUAUUUUAUUCCGGCGCCGGCACCGCGAGACUGCUGAUUUAUCGGUGGGGGGAAGGCAGGAGCGACCCCCCCCCGUGCUCAGCCUCCCCCUGCCCUGCCUCCAAAGGCCCCAUAACUUACCACCCAGCAAACGCCUUCCCCCUUCUCCAUCUUUCCGGCGCUUUGUGUUCUCCCUCGUUAAUAUAUUGCGCCGCGUUAUUUAUCCCGGCCCGCAGCCUGGGGUAUUUACACACGCGGAGACGCGAGAACUUCAAAAAUAAAUCACGGGGCACGACUACUAUUUUAAUCUCUCAUUACGGACACUUCUGUGGCUCCAUAAAGAAAAGAGUGGCGCGGCAGCUUGACGAGCGAGUCCGUAAAGAGAGAUCUUCUGUGCCAAAAAGCGGUGCUGGGAUCGUGGCUUCCAGGCACCACAAGUCUGCACAGGCUGGGGUUUUGAUUUUUCCUCCUCAGCUCUGGUGGUGGUAGGGUGGCUGAGAUGGCAAAGGAAACUCCGUGCAGCCGUGGAUGUGGCUGAUGUGGCAGGGCCAGGAUGUCUGUGGGGGCUGUGGCCUAGCUGGAAUAUGAUAAAAUGUUCACACACGUGGCACUCUCUGCCCAGAGCUCUGCAAACAUUAAUCAAGUUGCCCAGCGCCCCUUGGCAAGUGUCAGUGCUGAAAUCUCCUUGCUGGGGUUAAAUCCAGGGACCAGAAGGGCUAAAGGGCUCCAAGGGUGAACCCACAGCCCCAAAAGAGCCACAUCUCCAGCAUCCUGCUCUCCAGAGCCAGCAUUGCAUCUCCCCAGUCCCAAAACCCACCGUGCCAGGCCCUGGGCUGCCAAACCACAGGAAUGCGUCAGGAGGGAGGGAUGUCCGUGCUGGGUGACAGAAAACAGCUGAGGGUUCAAUUCCCUCCUUACAACAUGAAGCGUUGGGAAUUGGGGGCUGGAAAAAGGGGGAAUUGAAUUCCUUAAAACAGCACAAUUAGCUUCCAAAAUAAAAACUGGAAUGUGUUUGUUUAAUUAGAGCUGAGGCAAAACACACACUUGGGUCAAACCAGCCUCAGGCUCCAGAGACAACACAGUGCAUUGAUGUGAAUUUUGGAAAGGAGGGGGAAAAGCUUCCAUUUCCUAGCAAAUCCCUGGCUCUGGGCAGCCCUGGAGCUGCCGGUGUUGAAUAUUCAGAGGGCUGAUUCCCCACAGUGAGCGGCGCUGCAGCCAGGUAACAGCGCAGGCUGGCACAGCGGGAAUGGAGCCUGGGAGCUCCAAAUCCCAAAUGUGGGAUCUCCACCAGGGUGCAGGGAUCUCCCUCCCCCGGGGAAGGUACCAGGUCUGGCCUGCCCCAUGGUCCCAGUGGGGGGAUCUGGCCUUAUUUUGGCUGUCUUAAGCCUGCAGUGGUUUAUCGAGUCCCAGACAUCCCUCCAAAUUUGGCACCUCAUCCCUUUGCUUCUGUUUGUGUCCCUGUUACUGGAUUUCUUUUAAAUGGGAGAAAAAACAAUCAGCUCUUUAUGACAGCGGACAUGAAAGCUGUAUGACUACGGAGAAGUGCAUUAACCUUUCCUUUAGCUUGGAGAACUUCAUAAUCUUUUAAAAAUCAACUUUUUAUUAAUUUCAGAAUGCUGCUUGAUGCCUGAGGGGAGUGAGGAGCAGUGGUAUCACCAGUGGAGUUCUUUGCCACUCUAACUUAAGGUCAGGCUUGCAGGUGCUGCAGGAACCCCGGCCCAUGCAGAUAGUGAAUCAUGGAAUUGUGAAGGUUAGAAAAGCCCUCUAAGAUCAUUGAGUCCAGGCAUUCCUCCAGCACUGCCAAGGCCACCUCUAAACAGUGUCCCCAGGUGCCACAGCCACACAUCUUUUAAACUCAUCCAGGGAUGGGGACUCAACCACUGCACAGCUCCAGGGCAGGAGCAGCCAAGCACUGCAUCUUCCCAUACAGCCCAUGGGGGUGAAUUAAACUGGUGGUGCUUGGCCAGCCUGGAGCUGGACCUCUGCAUCCAUGUGGGUAAGGAGGAAGGAGCCACCUCAAUUUUAUUGCAAAACUGGGUUUCCCUGAGAGAAAAUCAGGUUGUCCUUGCUGGGCUGAAAUUUGGAUAUAGCAGGGCUACUGUCAGCCGUUCUUCCUUGGAGACUGGGGCAAGGAGACAGCCAGGAGAACCCAGCCCCUUUCCAGGGAGUUGUGUAGGGAAGGAAGCAGCUGAAGGGCUGCGAGAGCCCAGCGAGAGCAGUUCAUGGGGCCACAGACCCCACAUGGAUCAUCCUGGAGCCCGGAGCUGGGGGACAGAGCCUGGCCCCGUGGCACAUGCGAGCCUCUCUGGGUGAUGGGCACACACUGGGCAGGGUGGGCUCUUAUUAAUUACUACUAAUAACUUAUUUCACGUAUGGUUCUCGAUGGGAUUUUGCUGCAGAGGGCUGCUGAUAUUUUAGGCAUACGCGGGGUGAAUCUCUGUCGGCGCAGCCAAAUCCCCGGGCCGGGGCUCCGAAGCCGCCGGCACAGCCCUUGCCGAGUGUUUCCAAACUGAAUAGUCAUUGGUUUGGCAGAUAAUUCAGAAACUAUUUGUAUGAGCUGUUUAUCAAAUUAUUAACUGCACAGAUGUUGUUUGGUUGAAGAGCAGCUGAACCUUCUCUCUGCCAGCCGGGGAGACAAAGGUCUGCAGGAAUAAUUGGAGAUGUGCAUGGAAUAUUAAAUUAAUUUACUGCUCUUAAUUCUUAUGCAAAUCCUGACCUCUGAUAGAGCCUAUCAAUUACCCUGCACACAGGGAAAAGAAAGGAGAACAGUUUCUUUCUUUUCUUUCCCCCCCUCUCCUUUUUUUCCUGUUGUUCUCCAGUUUGGGGUUUUGUUUCUUUGUUGUUGUUGGUUUUUUUUCCCUUUUGAAAGGGAACUUGGGAAAGGAAAUAUUUGUGGGAAGAAAAAAAGCCAUUUAUUUGUGGUGCAAAGGGCCAGGAUUAUUUAAUUGAAUGUCCCAGUUGCAGCGAUGUCCCCUGGGAGACAGGGUGCAGUUUUUAACAUUGUGGGGUGCUCAGGGGAGGCCUGGGAAUGUAGGCCAGAGCCGGGCUGGAAUAGCUCCACAUGCUUCCCCAGGAGGGGCCCCACUCUGCCAGCACCGUGGUGGGCUGAAGUGGGAAAGGACUGGAGGCCCGGGCUGAUCCCAGCUGGAUUUUGGUGGGGUUGGGGGCAGGAAGGGGCCCCUGGCUCUGCUGGAAUCCAGCCGGGGUUCAGGUGGGUUAUCAGGGAGCUCUCCCUGCCCCUAUAGCGGGGCUGAUUCUUCCAGUAAUUACCAGGGAAGAAGAAAAGGAAUUUGUUGUGAGAUCCAGGUAAAAUGAAGCAGGAUUUAAUUGGUCCUCGUUAAACAGAGCUGGGUUUCCAAUAUGGAGAAAGGCCUCGUCCGGGCAGUGUUUAAUUGGGGCUGUGUGUGCGCUGCUCAGCCGGUGCUUAAAGGCAGACGCCGGGCCCUGUUCUUUCAUCCCAUUUUCUAAUAAGGAUAAAUAAACAGGAUGAAUAAUGCCAUCAGUCUCUCCCUCGACCCCUGUGAGACCCCAGCAAUGCAGUGCUGUUCACCCCAGAGCUGCUUCCUGGGAUCCAUGAGCAGGAUCCCUCGGCACGGAGCACCCGAUGCGGCACCGAUGGGCUCCGUUAGCAGAACCCCCAGGUCCAGCUACGGAGCAGUUUGGGGAAUUCUUUGGUUAGUGGCUGUCAGAGGGGAGCCUGAGGAGGGGAUGGGGCUCAGGGGGCAGGACGGGAAAGGAGGGAGAAAAGAAUGAAAAAUAAAAUUAUGUCUUUCCCUUCUAUUUUUCCUUUUUUAUUUUUUUUCCCCCGUAAAUCCUGGGAAGCACUGGGAGACUGCACUCCCCCUCCCACACCGCCCACUCGGGUAAUUUCAUUUAUCCUGCAAAUCUAAUUAGCAAUCCGUGGCUGACAUUAAUACAGAUCUAAUGAGGCCGGCGAUGACCAGAUUAUCAGGCGAGCGCUGACAGAGCCUUAAAGGCACAUCGAGCCCUGCAGUCAGUGCGACCCGGCAGGGGAAAAACUGCUUUAAAGGGGGAGAAGAAAAAGGGGGAAAAAAAAAAAAAAAAAAGGAAGAAAGAAAGAAAAAAAAAUUGCUGAGGGAGGGGGAGAAGAACAUGAGGAAAAGCGGUGCGGGUAGGGCUUGGUUGCUUAGCUUAUUAAGGGAGCUGGAGCUUUGCUGGACGCAGUUUAUCCACAGCAUCGGGCCUCUGUCCCUGCUUCUUCUGAAAUACCGUUCUGCAGAGGAGAAAAAGGAGGGGGGGAAAUAAGGGAAAAAAAAAAAAUAAGAAGAAGCUGGAGCCCAAGGAGUCGCUGUGCAAUUUAUUCCAAGGGGUGGCUUUUGAGAAGGCGGCAAUUUGCGGCGGCCGGGGGUUAUUUAGUGCGAUAUGAAAUCAAAUGAUCCUAUUGCUCAAAUAACAGUGUCUGGGAGGAGAAGCGAGCGCGCUCCAAAGCAGCAGCAGCAGUAGCAAGCACUGAGAUCGAGCAGGAUGGAGCGGCCUGGCCAAGCCAUGGCCCCGCUGGCAGGAGCUGCAGAGCGGACAGCGGAGGGAACAGCUUGGUGGUGAAGAUGCUGUUCUCCUGAAAGGGGAUCCUGGCAGAAGCAUGGCUUGGUGCAGAGGACGGCACAAAGGCGAGACAGCAGGAGACACUUGAAUGGAGACUCCUCGUGUUUACAGCCUGGUCACACAAGUGACUGAGACCCGAAAUCUCCCUGACAUCCUCUCUGGAUGCCUGGCCUUGGAACAGCCUCAUUCGUGCCACGCCUGCUCCCUUCCGCUCGUGGAGCCUUCUGUGCUGCACAGGACACUGGAAAAGCACUUGGAGAUGGCUGGAGAAGGAAGGGGGCUUCCUGGAACAUGGUCUCUAAACCAGGCCCUUCCCUGUGCCGUGGCUUUUCUGGGGCUCAUUAAUAUCUGUGGUAUGUGCUUAUAUCUCAAUUCUCCAGGAUUAAUUCAAAAUCCACGGACAGUGACAUGCCUAGGGGCUUUUCAAUUAUGUCACUCGGCUUUGGCUAAGGCCCUUACAUUUGUAAUAAACAUGACAUGCUUGUAA